AGCAUGGACGAGAGUGAGAAAAAAGGAUUUAAAAUUUGAUUCUUUACAGUGUAAUGAGCUAUACAUUUUUUUAGUUGUAUUCAUUAUAAAAUGUUAUAUUAAUUUGUUUUUUUUUUAUUAGAAGAGUUUACAAGCAUGCCUAGGAUCAGUAUUUUAUCCGAUCAACCAACGCCCCCAGGAAAGAAUUCCCAUCUUGUAAACAACGUCAUACUGUCUAGCGAAACACCGAGCGCGCGGGUUCCAUCGGUUUCAUCGUACCGAUAAUGUUGAACACUGUUUCCGGUUUAUCUCUCGACAAUUUAACACCCCUCCCCAGUUAUGCCGACACGAUUCAACGACAAAGUUGAGCGAGGAAACACAACCAUUGCCAUAAAUACCGCGUGAGAUGCGGUUUGUAGUCGCAAUGUCUGUCGGAAAGGUUUCGUACGAUCGUUUACAUUUUUAGCUCUUCUUUGACUUGAAGGUUUGCGUUGCCGUUUUGUUGAUCGACAAGCUUGUCCAGCUUCGAUUUGCGUUCACGUGCAAAUAAAAUUGAACGCAAGACUUGGCUGACUCUGUUGUAACAAGAAAUAAGGAUCAUGGAAGCCUCGAUCAUUUAGAGGGCCUGGUCUCAAUAAGCCCGGUGGCCGAUGCGAUAGCCACAACUGUAGUGUGAACUCCCUAAGGGGACUCUUGUAACGUCUCCUCUUGGACUUUAACUAUGGCCCAGUCAGCAGAUUCUACAGAUCUACAGAUUCAACAGAUUCUACAGCAGAGUGACUUGUUCCGCCACUGAUUGAAGUUCUUGACGACCAUCGUCCUAAACCCGAUUUGGAUAGCAGUCACGUUUACGUGAGCUGUUCCAAUCCAUCCCCAAAAACCCCGAUAAGCAUAUUGGAGUUAAGCGAUGACAUCCCGCUUAAAUACACGACACCAUGUCCGAUAAACCACGCAAAACAUUUUGCAAUCUUCAGCCGACCGGCACACGACCGAACACACC
Anopheles stephensi (Asian malaria mosquito) is the source of this 979-nucleotide long non-coding RNA. RefSeq lists it as uncharacterized. The transcript has 3 exons. The record is from RefSeq and is a predicted model, not a curated record. Lineage: Eukaryota; Metazoa; Arthropoda; Insecta; Diptera; Culicidae.